GCUAAUACCGCAUAAUAGUAUUUGAUGCAUAUCAGAUACUUGAAAGGCGCAAUUGCGUCACUAGAAGAUGGCCCCGCGGUGCAUUAGCUAGUUGGUGAGGUAACGGCUCACCAAGGCAAUGAUGCAUAGCCGACCUGAGAGGGUGAUCGGCCACACUGGGACUGAGACACGGCCCAGACUCCUACGGGAGGCAGCAGUAGGGAAUCUUCGGCAAUGGACGCAAGUCUGACCGAGCAACGCCGCGUGAGUGAAGAAGGUUUUCGGAUCGUAAAACUCUGUUGUAAGAGAAGAACGUUGAUGAGAGUGGGAAGUUCAUCAAGUGACGGUAUCUUACCAGAAAGCCACGGCUAACUACGUGCCAGCAGCCGCGGUAAUACGUAGGUGGCAAGCGUUGUCCGGAUUUAUUGGGCGUAAAGCGAGCGCAGGCGGUUGAUUAAGUCUGAUGUGAAAGCCCCCGGCUCAACCGGGGAGGGUCAUUGGAAACUGGUCAACUUGAGUGCAGAAGAGGAGAGUGGAAUUCCAUGUGUAGCGGUGAAAUGCGUAGAUAUAUGGAGGAACACCAGUGGCGAAGGCGGCUCUCUGGUCUGUAACUGACGCUGAGGCUCGAAAGCGUGGGGAGCGAACAGGAUUAGAUACCCUGGU
RNAcentral lists this ribosomal RNA (642 nucleotides) under uncultured bacterium. Its description in RNAcentral is "bacterial SSU rRNA". It matches the Rfam family "Bacterial small subunit ribosomal RNA", at positions 162 to 791 of the family's 1533-position model. The record is from RNAcentral.